GAAGAACAGGGUGAAGAAAAGUAAGUCCAGGAGCCCGCCUGAAGAACAGGGUGAAGAAAAAGUAAGUCUAGGAGCCCGCCUGAAGAAUAGAGUGAAGAAAAAAGUAAGUUCAGGAGCCCACCUGAAGAACAGGGUAAAGAAAAAAUAGGUCCAAGAGCCCGCUUGAAGAAUAGGGUAAAGAAAAAAAACAAGUCCAAGAGCCCUCUUGAAGAACAGGGUGAAGAAAAAAGUAAGUCCAAGAGCCCUCCUGAAGAACAGGGUGAAGAAAAGGCAAGUCCAGGAUCCCGCCUGAAGAAUAAGGUGAAGAAAAAGCAAGUUCGGGAGCCCGCCUGAAGAAUAGGGUGAAGAAAAAGCAAGUCCAGGAGCCCGCGUGAAGACCAGAGUGAAGAAAAAGCAAGUCCAGGAGCCCUCCUGAAGAACAGGGUGAAGAAAAAGCAGGUCCAGGAACCCACCUGAAGAACAGGGUGUAGAAAAAGCAAGUUCAUGAGCCCGCCUGAAGAACGGGGUGAAGAAAAAACAAAUCAGGAGACCUCCUAAAGAAUAGGGUGAACAUUAUCAGU
Molecule: long non-coding RNA, 560 nt
Filed under: Capsicum annuum
Lineage: Eukaryota; Viridiplantae; Streptophyta; Magnoliopsida; Solanales; Solanaceae
Description: long non-coding RNA (CANN_LNC015932)
Source: RNAcentral